This 253-nucleotide ribosomal RNA is filed under the name uncultured bacterium. Its description in RNAcentral is "partial 16S ribosomal RNA". It matches the Rfam family "Bacterial small subunit ribosomal RNA", at positions 524 to 776 of the family's 1533-position model. The record is from RNAcentral.
UACGGGGGGAGCAAGCGUUGUUCGGAUUUACUGGGCGUAAAGGGCGCGUAGGCGGCCUGUUAAGUCGAACGUGAAAUCCCCGGGCUCAACCCGGGAACUGCGUCCGAAACUGGCAGGCUUGAAUUCGGGAGAGGGAUGCGGAAUUCCAGGUGUAGCGGUGAAAUGCGUAGAUAUCUGGAGGAACAUCGGUGGCGAAGGCGGCAUCCUGGACCGAGAUUGACGCUGAGGCGCGAAAGCCAGGGGAGCAAACGGG